GAUGAACGCUAGCUACAGGCUUAACACAUGCAAGUCGAGGGGAAACGAUAUUGGAAGCUUGCUUCCGAUAGGCGUCGACCGGCGCACGGGUGAGUAACGCGUAUCCAACCUGCCCACCACUUGGGAAUAACCUUGCGAAAGUAAGACUAAUGCCCAAUGAUAUCUCUAGAAGACAUCUGAAAGAGAUUAAAGAUUUAUCGGUGAUGGAUGGGGAUGCGUCUGAUUAGCUUGUUGGCGGGGUAACGGCCCACCAAGGCGACGAUCAGUAGGGGUUCUGAGAGGAAGGUCCCCCACAUUGGAACUGAGACACGGUCCAAACUCCUACGGGAGGCAGCAGUGAGGAAUAUUGGUCAAUGGGCGAGAGCCUGAACCAGCCAAGUAGCGUGCAGGAUGACGGCCUUAUGGGUUGUAAACUGCUUUUAUAAGGGAAUAAAGUGAGUCUCGUGAGACUUUUUGCAUGUACCUUAUGAAUAAGGACCGGCUAAUUCCGUGCCAGCCGCCGCCGUAA
This 508-nucleotide ribosomal RNA is filed under the name uncultured bacterium. RNAcentral's name for it is "partial 16S ribosomal RNA". It matches the Rfam family "Bacterial small subunit ribosomal RNA", at positions 28 to 523 of the family's 1533-position model. The record is from RNAcentral.